GAGCGGCGAACGGGUGAGUAACACGUGAGCAACCUACCCUCAACUUUGGGAUAAGCCUCGGAAACGGGGUCUAAUACCGGAUAAUAUCGCGCUCCUCAUGGGGUGUGGUUGAAAGUUCUGGCGGUUGGGGAUGGGCUCGCGGCCUAUCAGCUUGUUGGUGGGGUAAUGGCCUACCAAGGCGUCGACGGGUAGCCGGCCUGAGAGGGCGACCGGCCACACUGGGACUGAGACACGGCCCAGACUCCUACGGGAGGCAGCAGUGGGGAAUAUUGCGCAAUGGACGAAAGUCUGACGCAGCAACGCCGCGUGAGGGAUGACGGCCUUCGGGUUGUAAACCUCUUUCAGCAGGGACGAAGCGAGAGUGACGGUACCUGCAGAAGAAGGACCGGCCAACUACGUGCCAGCAGCCGCGGUAAUACGUAGGGUCCGAGCGUUGUCCGGAAUUAUUGGGCGUAAAGGGCUCGUAGGCGGUUCGUCACGUCGGGAGUGAAAACUCGGGGCUUAACCCCGAGCCUGCUUCCGAUACGGGCAGACUAGAGGUAGGCAGGGGAGAGCGGAACUCCU
Molecule: ribosomal RNA, 564 nt
Filed under: Kribbella sp. 337D12
Lineage: Bacteria; Bacillati; Actinomycetota; Actinomycetes; Propionibacteriales; Kribbellaceae
Description: bacterial SSU rRNA
Rfam family: Bacterial small subunit ribosomal RNA
Source: RNAcentral